AUUGCUUCUCAGCUUCUUGGCUAAGAUCAAGUGUAGAAUCCAAUCUAAUGUUAGUAAUCUAACACUGAAUGUAGAUUCUAGUGUAAUAUUACACUCCUUAAUAUAACACCCACAAACCUUUCAUAAACAUAGAUAUGUAGGUUACUAUUUCAUCGCUGUAAAAUACAGCGAUGUUACAUUAACUCCAA
RNAcentral lists this small nuclear RNA (188 nucleotides) under Dipodomys ordii (Ord's kangaroo rat). RNAcentral describes it as "U2 spliceosomal RNA". It matches the Rfam family "U2 spliceosomal RNA". Rfam says of the family: U2 is a small nuclear RNA (snRNA) component of the spliceosome (involved in pre-mRNA splicing). Complementary binding between U2 snRNA (in an area lying towards the 5' end but 3' to hairpin I) and the branchpoint sequence (BPS) of the intron results the bulging out of an unpaired adenosine, on the BPS, which initiates a nucleophilic attack at the intronic 5' splice site, thus starting the first of two transesterification reactions that mediate splicing. The record is from Rfam by way of RNAcentral. Lineage: Eukaryota; Metazoa; Chordata; Mammalia; Rodentia; Heteromyidae.